UAAGUCAGCCACGAAUAGGCUAUCCCAACUAACGGCGGGAAAGACUCCACGGAGGGUGUAAGACCCGUGUGGGCGCGUGUCAAAGCUGUGCGGGCUCGGCCUCUAUUCCCUGAGAGUCGCGUUGCUUGAGCAUGCAGCGCUAAGCAGGUCGUAAACUCGAUCUAAGGCUAAAUAUCUCCACAGAACCGAUAGCGAACAAGUACCGUGAGGGAAAGUUGAAAAGCACUCUGGAGAGAGAGUCAAAAGACCGUGAAACCGCUCAGAGUAUAAGCCCAUGGCAGCUUGGAAGGCAUAUCGAUAGCGGGGCAUCGGUCUUCCUUCGCGGGGAGCUGGUGUUACCUUGCUUCUGUUGUGGCUCGUCAUGGUAGGGGGGUCAAGUCCACAUCCCGCCGUCGUGUGGGGGGUUCUUGGGUGUGUUGUGGUUUCCCUGUUGGCUUCGGCUCUCAGGGGGGCUCUUCGUGCUUGGUUCCUCUUUAGACACGGACGUUCAGACUCAGAGGCAAGAUGCGAUAAACAGCCCACCACGGCACGUUGUGAGGUCACCCACAGGCUCGACUUUCGAUUGUGAACCUUGACGCCGAGCAAGCACAAUGCGUGUCGCUGAGGUUCCUAACCAGGCAAAAUGCUGCCAGGAUCGUGGAACGACACGCGCUCAAAAGUCAGGUUCGGGCGGAGACAGAGUUCUGGUACGAUCCUCUUGCGACGAGCCGGCUUCUGGCCAACAUCCGAUGCUCAGGUCUCCCGCAUGUGCCGCGGGAGAUCGCCUUGACGGUCUGGA
This 778-nucleotide ribosomal RNA is filed under the name Gammarus balcanicus. RNAcentral's name for it is "eukaryotic LSU rRNA". It matches the Rfam family "Eukaryotic large subunit ribosomal RNA", at positions 157 to 623 of the family's 3401-position model. Lineage: Eukaryota; Metazoa; Arthropoda; Malacostraca; Amphipoda; Gammaridae. RNAcentral also lists the same sequence under 1 other name. The record is from RNAcentral.